UAAUGGCAUUUAUCAUUUUUUGCUUCAAAUCAAGAUUACAUUCAGCAUUUCCUGUUCAAAUUUGUUGCUGUGGCUUGAAUAGCAGGGUGGAAAAGGAGUCUUCAGUGGUUUAUUCAUCAAUUAUCAUCAGGACACCCGGCAAAAGAAUUAAUCACAUGGCCUGUAGUGAUUGUGUUUAUUGUGAAAUAAAAG
This is a long non-coding RNA of Oreochromis aureus, 192 nucleotides long. RefSeq lists it as uncharacterized. NCBI's taxonomy places the organism in Eukaryota, Metazoa, Chordata, Actinopteri, Cichliformes, Cichlidae. The transcript has 3 exons. The record is from RefSeq and is a predicted model, not a curated record.